Molecule: ribosomal RNA, 426 nt
Filed under: uncultured eukaryote
Lineage: Eukaryota
Description: bacterial SSU rRNA
Rfam family: Eukaryotic small subunit ribosomal RNA
Source: RNAcentral
AACCGUAGUAAUUCUAGGGCUAAUACGUGCGAAGCGCCCGAAGCCGCGAGGCGACGGGCGUUCUCGCCGGAUGUAGGAACCGACCCGGGGACCGCCGGGGCAACCCGGCGCCCCCGAGACGGGGCGAACCACGGUGAAAUGACGGAUCGUCGGCCCCGCGCCGGCGACUCGCCGAAUGAGUUUCUGACCUAUCAACUCGAGACGGCGGGGUAGAGGCCCGCCGCGGUAACGACGGGUAACGGGGAAUCAGGGUUCGAUUCCGGAGAGGGGAGCCCGAGAAACGGCUACCACUUCCAAGGAAGGCAGCAGGCGCGCAACUUACCCUAAUCUCGAUUCGAGGAGGUAGUGACAAAGAAAUACCGAUGCGGGACCCUACGGGUGCCGCGUUCGGAAUGAGUACGAUUCGAACCACCUAACGAGGAACGA